Molecule: ribosomal RNA, 2169 nt
Filed under: activated sludge metagenome
Description: bacterial LSU rRNA
Rfam family: Bacterial large subunit ribosomal RNA
Source: RNAcentral
UCAAUUUUCUAAGAGCAGACGGUGGAUGCCUUGGCAUCUGGAGCCGAAGAAGGACGUAUAAAUCUGCGAUAAGCCUCGGGGAGCUGAUAAUAGAGCUUUGAUCCGAGGAUUUCCGAAUGGGGAAACCCCGUCAGGCGUUGCAAGACGACCUGAUGACUCCCGCCUGAAUAUAUAGGGCGGGUAGAGGGAACGUGGGGAAGUGAAACAUCUCAGUACCCACAGGAAGAGAAAACAACCGUGAUUCCGUUAGUAGUGGCGAGCGAAACCGGAACAGGCCAAACCGAUCAUGUGUGAUAGCCGGCAGGCGUUGCAUGGUCGGGGUAGCGGGACUUUUCUGCUGUUACUGCCGUACAGCAAGCGUUACAACGAUAUAUAGGCGAAUGGCAUUGAAAGGCCAGUCAUAGAGGGUGCCAACCCCGUAGCCGAAAUGUAUCAAUGGCGCGAAGAGUAUCCCAAGUAGCACGGGGCCCGAGAAAUCCCGUGUGAAUCUGCCAGGACCACCUGGUAAGCCUAAAUACUCCCAGAUGACCGAUAGCGGACAAGUACCGUGAGGGAAAGGUGAAAAGUACCCCGGGAGGGGAGUGAAAUAGUACCUGAAACCGUUUGCUUACAAACCGUUGGAGCCUCCUUAGCAGGGGUGACAGCGUGCCUUUUGAAGAAUGAGCCUGCGAGUUAGCGAUACGUGGCGAGGUUAACCCGUGUGGGGUAGCCGUAGCGAAAGCGAGUCUGAAUAGGGCGAUUCAGUCGCGUGUCCUAGACCCGAAGCGAAGUGAUCUAUCCAUGGCCAGGUUGAAGCGACGGUAAGACGUCGUGGAGGACCGAACCCACUUAGGUUGAAAACUGAGGGGAUGAGCUGUGGAUAGGGGUGAAAGGCCAAUCAAACUUCGUGAUAGCUGGUUCUCUCCGAAAUGCAUUUAGGUGCAGCGUUGCGUGUUUCUUGCCGGAGGUAGAGCUACUGGAUGGCCGAUGGGCCCUACAAGGUUACUGACGUCAGCCAAACUCCGAAUGCCGGUAAGUGAGAGCGCAGCAGUGAGACUGUGGGGGAUAAGCUUCAUAGUCGAGAGGGAAACAACCCAGACCACCAACUAAGGUCCCAAAGCGCGUGCUAAGUGGGAAAGGAUGUGGAGUUGCUGUGACAACCAGGAGGUUGGCUUAGAAGCAGCCACCCUUGAAAGAGUGCGUAAUAGCUCACUGGUCAAGUGAUUCCGCGCCGACAAUGUAACGGGGCUCAAGCACACCACCGAAGUUGUGACAUUCGCGCAUUGCCCGGCCUUCGGGUCCAGGCGCGCGGAUGGGUAGGGGAGCGUCGUGUGGCCAGCGAAGCGGCGGGGAAACCCAGCCGUGGAGGCCACACGAGUGAGAAUGCAGGCAUGAGUAGCGAAAGACGGGUGAGAAACCCGUCCGCCGAAUGACCAAGGGUUCCAGGGCCAGGCUAAUCCGCCCUGGGUAAGUCGGGACCUAAGGCGAGGCCGACAGGCGUAGUCGAUGGACAACGGGUUGAUAUUCCCGUACUGACGAAGAACCGCCCAAACUAAUCCAGUAGUGCUAAGAGUCCUAAUCCGGCUGACGGAUCCCUUCGGGGUGAAGCGGCCGGCCUAACGCUCGACCCCGUUCUGGUGCGGUUAGCGUAUUAACAGGUGUGACGCAGGAAGGUAGCCGUACCGGGCGAUGGUUGUCCCGGUGUAAGGACGUAGGGCGAGAGAUAGGCAAAUCCGUCUCUCACAUAGCCUGAGAUCUGAUGCAUAGCCCUCACGGGCGAAUUCGGUGAUCCUAUGCUGCCAAGAAAAGCAUCGACGCGAGGUUCCAGUCACCCGUACCCCAAACCGACUCAGGUGGUCAGGUAGAGAAUACCAAGGAGAUCGAGAGAAUCGUGGUUAAGGAACUCGGCAAAAUGCCCCCGUAACUUCGGGAGAAGGGGGGCCUGAGGCGUGAAGGGAUUUACUCCUGGAGCGUUCGAUGGCCGCAGAGACCAGUGGGAAGCGACUGUUUACUAAAAACACAGGUCCGUGCUAAGUCGCAAGACGAUGUAUACGGACUGACGCCUGCCCGGUGCUGGAAGGUUAAGAGGAACGGUUAGCCGCAAGGCGAAGCUGAGAAUUUAAGCCCCAGUAAACGGCGGUGGUAACUAUAACCAUCCUAAGGUAGCGAAAUUCCUUGUCGGGUAAGUUC